AUGGCCAACAAUCUUUGGAUCGCAAAUAUUGACGUCACCAACGGUCUGUCCCUCGCGCAGAUUGAGCAAUUUGCUGACCUUUGGGAAAAGGUUUCAACGGUGGCCCUCGAGGAUGAAGUGGAAGACUCGAUUAUAUGGAAGUUUUCUAAGGACGGAACGUACUCAGCUUCCUCGGCUUACAAGGUGCAAUUCGAAGGCCUCACCUCCUCUGAUCUUGUCCAGUCAGUGUGGAGUGUGUGGGCUCCGCUGAGGUGCAAAUUCUUUGCUUGGCUGGUUCUUCAAAAUAGGGUCUGGACAUCAGACCGCUUGAUCCGUCGUGGGUGGCCCAACUGCGGCUUGUGUCCUCUCUGCAAGCAAGUGCAGGAGUCCGCGGCCCACCUUCUCUUCCAAUGCCGCUUCUCUUUGCGCAUCUGGAACGACAUUCUCCCGUGGCUCGGAAUGCACCACAUCUCUACUUCUUCUUGGUCGGCGAGCGCUUCGGUCAAAGGAUGGUGGAACGAUAAUCUUCAGAUUCGUCUCGGCUCGCCCAAAGCCCUUGCCUCAUUGAUGAUGCUCAUCUCAUGGGAGAUUUGGUCCGAGCACAACGCGAGAGUCUUUCGCAACGUUGCAGUCCCUCCGGUGGUAAUUAUUAACAAGAUCAAGCAAGAGGUGUUGCUUUGGGCUUUGGCAGGUGCCAAGCACUUGGGUAUUGUAAUGCCGCGAAAGUAA
This 708-nucleotide ribosomal RNA is filed under the name Triticum aestivum (bread wheat). RNAcentral's name for it is "partial small subunit ribosomal RNA". Lineage: Eukaryota; Viridiplantae; Streptophyta; Magnoliopsida; Poales; Poaceae. The record is from RNAcentral.